RNAcentral lists this ribosomal RNA (860 nucleotides) under Xylora bathyalis DZMB550. RNAcentral's name for it is "eukaryotic LSU rRNA". It matches the Rfam family "Eukaryotic large subunit ribosomal RNA", at positions 67 to 814 of the family's 3401-position model. Lineage: Eukaryota; Metazoa; Arthropoda; Copepoda; Harpacticoida; Pseudotachidiidae. The record is from RNAcentral.
UACUGUGAUGCCCCUAGUAAUGGCGAAUGAAACGGGCACAGCCCAGCACCGAACCGCCGGCCCUUUAAGUCGCGUGGCAUGUGGUGUUUGGGAGAGUCUUCUCGCGAUCGGGUGGCCAGUCCAAGUCCACCUUGACUGGGGCCACGGCCCGUAGAGGGUGAUAGGCCCGUAAGGCGGCCCGCCCGGUUGCGCUGACUUUUCCCCAGAGUCGAGUUGCUUGGAAGUGCAGCUCAAAGUGCGUGGUAAACUCCACGUAAGGCUAAAUAUAACCCCGAGACCGAUAGCGAACAAGUACCGUGAGGGAAAGUUGAAAAGAACUUUGAAGAGAGAGUUCAAAAGUACGUGAAACUGUGGAGUGGUAAACGGAGACGACCUCGAAGUCGGCGCCGGAGGUUCAGGCUUUCGGGCGUGCAGCCUGUCGGGCUUGUGAUCAGCGAUGACACGGCUCGGCGGUCGGCGCGUCCGGUGGCAGCAUUUCUCCGGCGCUUCACACGACGAACCGUUGGUGGUGCACUAAGCGCUGGGCCGAAGUUUGGGCGCGCCUUCGGGCACUCUCGAGCGGCUCCGGACGCUAGCUGCGCCGCCGACGGGUAGCUAAGCGGGCUCGUAUAGCGAGUGCAGCAUUGCCUUGCACGGCUCGCAUCUCUGUCGUGAGUAGGUCGGCGGCGUCUCCGACCCGUCUUGAAACACGGACCAAGGAGUCUAACAUGUGCGCGAGUCAUUGGGUUGUCGAAACCUAGCGGCGCAGUGAAAGCAAAGGUCACUUUCGUGGCUGAGGGGCGAUCCCUUUCGAGGGCGCAGCCCCGGCGCUUCGCGUCGACCUCGUAUCGUGCGGAGCAGCAAGAGCGUACACGUUGGGA